AGGGGGAGCGCCAGAUCCUGGGCUGUGUCCCCCGGCGCCCUGGGCUUGGGGCCUGCACCACUGGAAUCACGCUCCCGGGGCGGAGCAGCCCCCU
Molecule: microRNA precursor, 94 nt
Filed under: Canis lupus familiaris (dog)
Lineage: Eukaryota; Metazoa; Chordata; Mammalia; Carnivora; Canidae
Also listed under: 1 other name
Description: mir-8799 microRNA precursor family
Rfam family: mir-8799 microRNA precursor family
Source: Rfam by way of RNAcentral